Molecule: non-coding RNA, 336 nt
Organism: Cricetulus griseus (Chinese hamster)
Lineage: Eukaryota; Metazoa; Chordata; Mammalia; Rodentia; Cricetidae
Source: RefSeq, a predicted model, not a curated record
UAUUUUCAUACAAAUGUGCAGUAUACACUUUAAGCCGUGUUUUGUGGUAGGUCACAUCAUAUAUCCCUGGCUGCCCUUGGCUGGCUUGAACUCACAGAAAUCCACCUACCUCCUGUGUGCUGGGAUUAAAGAUCGGAACAGACGGCUUGGACUGGGACAAACACAGCUUUGCAAAGCUAGAGUCAUCUGAGAAGAGGGAAUCCAGUUGGGGAACUGCCUCCAUCAAAUUGUCUUGUACGCAAGUCUGUGAGGUAUUUCUUCAUUCAUGAUUGAUCUGGAGGGCCCAGCCUGUUGAGAGUGAUGCUAUACCUGGGCAGGUAGCAGGAGAAGGAAGAG